This 494-nucleotide ribosomal RNA is filed under the name uncultured bacterium. RNAcentral describes it as "partial 16S ribosomal RNA". It matches the Rfam family "Bacterial small subunit ribosomal RNA", at positions 28 to 507 of the family's 1533-position model. The record is from RNAcentral.
GACGAACGCUGGCGGCGUGCUUAACACAUGCAAGUCGAACGGUGAAGCGCCUUCCUUUUUGGUGGGUGUGGAUGAGUGGCGAACGGGUGAGUAACACGUGAGUAACCUGCCCCCUUCUUCUGGAUAACCGCAUGAAAGUGUGGCUAAUACGGGAUAUUCUGGGUCUGUCGCAUGAUGGGUCUGGGAAAGAUAUUGUUUCGGUGGGGGAUGGGCUCGCGGCCUAUCAGCUUGUUGGUGGGGUGAUGGCCUACCAAGGCGGUGACGGGUAGCCGGCCUGAGAGGAUGGACGGUCACACUGGGACGGCGAGACGGAGCAGACUCCUACGGGAGGCAGCAGUGGGGAAUAUUGCACGAGGGGCGGAAGGCUGAUGCAGCGACGCCGCGGGAGGGAUGGAGGCCGUCGGGUUGUGAACCUCUUUCGCCAGUGAAGCAGGCCUGCCUCGUUUGUGGGUGGGUUGACGGUAGCUGGAUAAGAAGCGCCGGCUAACUACGUG